UGGGGAAUUUUGGACAAUGGGCGCAAGCCUGAUCCAGCCAUGCCGCGUGCGGGAAGAAGGCCUUCGGGUUGUAAACCGCUUUUGUCAGGGAAGAAAUCUUCUGAGUUAAUACCUCGGGAGGAUGACGGUACCUGAAGAAUAAGCACCGGCUAACUACGUGCCAGCAGCCGCGGUAAUACGUAGGGUGCAAGCGUUAAUCGGAAUUACUGGGCGUAAAGCGUGCGCAGGCGGUUUUGUAAGACAGAGGUGAAAUCCCCGGGCUCAACCUGGGAACUGCCUUUGUGACUGCAAGGCUUGAGUGCGGCAGAGGGGGAUGGAAUUCCGCGUGUAGCAGUGAAAUGCGUAGAUAUGCGGAGGAACACCGAUGGCGAAGGCAAUCCCCUGGGCCUGCACUGACGCUCAUGCACGAAAGCGUGGGGAGCAAACAGGAUUAGAUAGCCCUGGUAGUCCACGCCCUAAAACGAUGUCAACUGGUUGUUGGGAAGGUUCCUUCUCAGUAACGUAGCUAACGCGUGAAGUUGACCGCCUGGGGAGUACGGCCGCAAGGUUGAAACUCAAAUGAAUUGACGGGG
Molecule: ribosomal RNA, 572 nt
Filed under: uncultured bacterium
Lineage: Bacteria
Description: partial 16S ribosomal RNA
Rfam family: Bacterial small subunit ribosomal RNA
Source: RNAcentral